RNAcentral lists this transfer RNA (57 nucleotides) under Salmonella enterica subsp. enterica serovar Enteritidis str. SA20085285. RNAcentral's name for it is "tRNA-Und (NNN) (tRNA-Und-NNN-4-1)". It matches the Rfam family "tRNA", at positions 20 to 71 of the family's 71-position model. From Rfam's summary of the family: Transfer RNA (tRNA) molecules are approximately 80 nucleotides in length. Their secondary structure includes four short double-helical elements and three loops (D, anti-codon, and T loops). The record is from RNAcentral. Lineage: Bacteria; Pseudomonadati; Pseudomonadota; Gammaproteobacteria; Enterobacterales; Enterobacteriaceae.
NNGAGUACUCGGCUACGAACCGAGCGGUCGGAGGUUCGAAUCCUCCCGGAUGCACCA